UACGUAGGGUGCAAGCGUUGUCCGGAAUUAUUGGGCGUAAAGAGCUCGUAGGCGGUCUGUCGCGUCGGCUGUGAAAACCUGGGGCUCAACCCCGGGCCUGCAGCCGAUACGGGCAGACUAGAAUUCGGCAGAGGAGACUGGAAUUCCUGGUGUAGCGGUGAAAUGCGCAGAUAUCAGGAGGAACACCGGUGGCGAAGGCGGGUCUCUAGGCCGAUAUUGACGCUAAGGAGCGAAAGCGUAGGGAGCAAACAGG
RNAcentral lists this ribosomal RNA (253 nucleotides) under uncultured bacterium. RNAcentral describes it as "partial 16S ribosomal RNA". It matches the Rfam family "Bacterial small subunit ribosomal RNA", at positions 524 to 776 of the family's 1533-position model. The record is from RNAcentral.